RNAcentral lists this long non-coding RNA (412 nucleotides) under Androctonus crassicauda. The record is from RNAcentral. Lineage: Eukaryota; Metazoa; Arthropoda; Arachnida; Scorpiones; Buthidae.
AAUAAAUCUAAAUCAGAUUUUUUUUCAAUAUAAAACUUUCUAUCAAUAUCAUUUACAAAUUGCUUUAUAAUCUUUGCAGCCUUCUACCAGCAAAGAUGUUUAAAGUGAUCCUUUUGAAGAGAAUAUGUUAUGAGACUGCUACCCUAUAUCAUAUAGUAUUGAUGUAUCAUAAAGCAGUUAGGUUUCUACCAUUGGUGUCAUCUAGUACUGUAAUUCAUGGUGUCACUCCUUCGUCCUCAAUAUUAUAUAAACUGUUCGAUCAUAUAUUUUCUUUACAUUGCACAAAAUAUGAAAUUAUGUAACACAACUUCAAUCUAUUACUACACUUGUGACUUACUAACAGUAGAAUCCUCCACAGGUUUCUCAACAAACAAGAAAUGACUAUUUUAACAAGGACUAUUUUUAAAGGCCC